GCGCAGCAGUUCUAAGUAAUGUGGUCUCUUUUUAGAAUUGAACGGUUACUUUGAAGAAUUCGUUUUGUUUUUUGACGAUGUUUAUGCAAAGAAAUAUUCCAAAUAUAUUCAUGUUGAUCUUGUUCGUGUAACCUUUAAUUACACAAUGUUAUACUUAUACAUAACGUGAAAAAAUUUUCGUUCUCUAAAUGCACCACAUAUUCUAAAACUGAGAAUAGUUAGAAGACCUUAGACUCUGUGUCCAUUAAUAUUUAUUUGAAACAGUGCCUCCUUUAAGAAAGAAGCUGUUUCUCUUACACGAUUACGAAACAAUCAAGCAUCAGAUAUUCCCAAAAAGCUCAAGAAAGGACGAUGUUUCUCAAAACUAAACAAUGCGGUUUCCAGAUAGCUGUAGCGAUUUUUAUGAUUUACGGAAAUUUCUUCGAGCACAGUUUGAUAUCGGCGCCCCUCUUACCAGCUUUGGUUACAAUAUCAGCAGUGAGAAUUGUAGGGUCUAGGAUAACAAGUGCCCAAAGAGAUGUAGGUAAGUCCGAAGGCGCAAUACGGAGCUGUACGGUGGAUAUGGCAACACAGUCCAAUCAAAUUUUGCAAUGAGUUCCGUGGUCGCAAUACUGGUGUGAGGUCUGCUGUUCUCAUGUUGCAAGAACUGUAUCUUCGCGUGACGUUUCAGUGUCUGAUAGACCGAUUUCGAACUGGUACCCCGUAAGUUGUAGUUCUCGCCUUUCUCGAUGAUCUUACCAUCCUAUAGCGAAACUUUCACCAACAUUUGAUUUACUUUGACCGCUUAUUUCAACGGUCAAUUUCAACUACGCGUGCGAAGACAAAAGUGCCAUUUCGCGUGCUCCCGCGUCAAAUACUUGGGACACCUCAUCACACCACAAGGAGUUUCUUUAGAUCCGGAUAAAACCACCGCCACCUUACGUAUGCACGCACCCAAUAACCUCAAACACCUGAUGACCUUCCUGCACACCUGGUCUUUGUAUCGGCCUCUCCUCUCAGGACUUGCUGCAGUCGCGAAACCUCGCGUAUCCGUAUUAAAGAACGAUGAAGGGUGGGAAUAGGGGGAGAGCCAGCAGAGAGCUUUUGAGCAACUAAAAGUUCACGCCAGCGAUCAUUUUUCAGCAAUAAGGCUCUAGUAGUCCAUUCACGAUACACAUGGACACCAGCCAGAACGCCAUCGGGACUGUGCUUUCCCAAGGAAAGGGACCCGAGCAACACUAAGGCAAGUGCGUCAGCCCACCUCUUGCUUCAAGCAGAGGGGAACUACUCAACAAGCGAAAGGGAAACCCUGGCCGUCGUCUGGGUAACAGAAAAGUUUCGAGGAUAGAUGUAUGGGCUAACUGGUGACGUUAGCUACGGAUCAUCAACCUCUCCGAUUGCUAAUGGGGCUGAAAACAUCCAGCGGCUUUCUAUCCCGUUGAGUUCUUUACUACAACCGCUUCAGCUGCAAAUUCAGUACAUCCUGGGAAAAACUAACGCGGUAGCAGAGUCUCGACCACCGUGCGCUCCAAUUUGGACAACAAUUCAGCAUCUGUCUCGUCUCGAUCGACCACAGGACAUCAGAAAAGGACAGCUCGCAGACCCCGCAAUUAAGAAAAUAACCGACUGUUAGAAUAACCCGAUGGUGCCCCAGUGGGCUUCGUGCGAUGGGUUCUAUAGCGGCACUAACCCGAAUCCGAGGUUCGAACAGCACAAGUAAUCCCUCGAGAGGAACGAACCAACAUCCUCUGCUAGCUACUGUGGCGGAGACCGCACCCACCCUCGUAUAGCCACCCAUAAUCCGGGCACCUCAUUGAGGAAACAUCACGUCUCAACCAUCAGGGCAUUUAGAUGGAAACCCGAAGAAGGACCUCUCGGUCCAAUCCGGUGAAGAGGGCAUCCGCCCAAGAAAUCUACCAAUCCUGUCACCUUGUUGAGACGCCAUAGCAGCCAGAGAGGGACUCUGUAACAAACCUACUACCGCCACCUACAAAUUUGUAUAAUAGUUUGGUGCCGUUGACAAGUGCAGGGACCUUCUAGAACCCCGAAAUUGUUUCAAACUGAACGCAUUCACUUGCUAAGUCGAACGCCAGCCUCGAAAACGCCUAGCGGCGGACUCAAAUAUCUGUAUACGAUUUUUGAAACAGAAUAAUACUUCUUCCUAUAAUUACUUAUUCAAUGAUUCUUCCGAUCAUUGAAUAUAGACUUAGGUAUAGACUACGAAACAGGUACCGUUUACAUGGCCCACGAUUGAAAUGUAUAGUGUGUUGCCUACAUACACAUUUUUGUUCAUCUGAUACAAACCCAUAUCGUCCAGUCAAAUUAAGGUUUGGGCUGGAUGUUGUCACUUCAUUCAACGACACCAAGCGUAACCUAUGUAAAAAAAUCCGCUGAUUCCGAAAAUCAUAGUCCCC
Molecule: long non-coding RNA, 2393 nt
Organism: Photinus pyralis (common eastern firefly)
Lineage: Eukaryota; Metazoa; Arthropoda; Insecta; Coleoptera; Lampyridae
Exons: 3
Source: RefSeq, a predicted model, not a curated record